AUAAACACAAUGAACAGAAGAAGUACAAAAGGCAAAAGUUCAGAGAGAACGUGGUUGGUGCGAACGUUCCUUGCGCUUUUUGGAAAUGCAUCUGGGAGUGGCUUAAACGACAAGUAGUUUGAGACGGUUCACUUACGUUACAAGUUAGAGGCAGUUUACUGCAAACAAAAGUGGAACCACGUCUAGACGUCUUUUGA
Molecule: non-coding RNA, 197 nt
Filed under: Enterococcus canis
Lineage: Bacteria; Bacillati; Bacillota; Bacilli; Lactobacillales; Enterococcaceae
Description: T-box sequence
Rfam family: T-box leader
About the family: Uncharged tRNA acts as the effector for transcription antitermination of genes in the T-box leader family. T-boxes are found upstream of many aminoacyl-tRNA synthetase genes and some amino acid biosynthetic genes usually in Gram-positive bacteria. The anticodon of a specific tRNA base pairs to a specifier sequence within the T-box motif, and the NCCA acceptor tail of the tRNA base pairs to a conserved bulge in the T-box antiterminator hairpin.
Source: RNAcentral